GGGCCAGUAGCUCAGUGGUUAGAGCAGUCGGCUCAUAACCGAUUGGUCGUAGGUUCAAUUCCUACCUGGCCCACCA
This 76-nucleotide transfer RNA is filed under the name Candidatus Peregrinibacteria bacterium. RNAcentral's name for it is "tRNA-Ile". It matches the Rfam family "tRNA". From Rfam's summary of the family: Transfer RNA (tRNA) molecules are approximately 80 nucleotides in length. Their secondary structure includes four short double-helical elements and three loops (D, anti-codon, and T loops). Further hydrogen bonds mediate the characteristic L-shaped molecular structure. tRNAs have two regions of fundamental functional importance: the anti-codon, which is responsible for specific mRNA codon recognition, and the 3' end, to which the tRNAs corresponding amino acid is attached (by aminoacyl-tRNA synthetases). tRNAs cope with the degeneracy of the genetic code in two manners: having more than one tRNA (with a specific anti-codon) for a particular amino acid; and 'wobble' base-pairing, i.e. permitting non-standard base-pairing at the 3rd anti-codon position. The record is from RNAcentral. Lineage: Bacteria; Candidatus Peregrinibacteriota.